Molecule: ribosomal RNA, 446 nt
Filed under: uncultured bacterium
Lineage: Bacteria
Description: partial 16S ribosomal RNA
Rfam family: Bacterial small subunit ribosomal RNA
Source: RNAcentral
GUAGGGAAUAUUGGACAAUGGGGGGAACCCUGAUCCAGCCAUGCCGCGUGGAGGAAGACUGCCCUCUGGGUUGUAAACUCCUUUUAUAUGGGAAGAACCGUCCUCAUUAAUGAGUGACCUGACGGUACCAUAGGAAUAAGCACCGGCUAACUCCGUGCCAGCAGCCGCGGUAAUACGGAGGGUGCAAGCGUUAUCCGGAUUCACUGGGUUUAAAGGGUGCGUAGGCGGGUUGAUAAGUCAGUGGUGAAAGCUCCGGGCUUAACUUGGAAACUGCCAUGGAUACUGUCAGUCUUGAAUGUCGUAGAGGGAAGCGGAAUGUUGCAUGUAGCGGUGAAAUGCUUAGAUAUGUUACAGAACACCAAUUGCGAAGGCAGCUUACUAUGCGAUAAUUGACGCUGAGGCACGAAAGCGUGGGGAGCAAACAGGAUUAGAAACCCCAGUAGUCC